RNAcentral lists this long non-coding RNA (1309 nucleotides) under Bos indicus x Bos taurus (hybrid cattle). Its description in RNAcentral is "lncRNA (ENSBIXG00000018966.1)". The record is from RNAcentral. Lineage: Eukaryota; Metazoa; Chordata; Mammalia; Artiodactyla; Bovidae.
AUGCUUUGGAAAUCCCCUGAUGGAUACACAGCUCCAGUUCCUGAAGUCAUCCAGGAGGCAGCAAAGGCUGAGCAGGAGUUAGAGACACCAAAGGCUCAGCCAUCUUACUGGGGAGAGAGGAGUAAUAGCCUGUCUAGGGAUGGGCUACCCGCUCCUCCAAACCACCCCCAAAUUAAAGGAAGACCAGCUGCCGUAUCAGGAGCAGUGAUCCUGAGAUGCCCAAAUCAAGAAUCUAAGCUCUGUCUUCAACAAUCACAGGAAUGGGGUGAUCAACUUGCCCUGGUUUGCCUGGAGCCAACCUGCUUUUAAAGCUGAAAAUCCCAUAUCCUGGGAAUCUUCCUCAUUCCCGGCCAAACUUGCAUCAUGGUUUAUCCUACAUGUGAGGGAGUUUGGAAGUGGACUCGCCAGCCCCAGGCAAGCCUUCAGCCCAGCUGACAACCUGGCAAGCCCCAGCUGACAACCCGACUGCAACCUCACGAGCAAUUCUGGGCCAGAACCACCCAGUUAAGCUGCUUCCAGGAUUCCUGGUUCUCAGAGACCAUGAGGUAGGGAAGAUCCACUGGAGAAGGGAAUGGCUCUCCACUCCAGUAUUCUUGCCUGUAGAAUUCCAUGGACAGAGCUACAGCCCAUGGGGUUGCAAAGAGUGGGACAUGACUUAACUGAACAAAAACAUUGAUUUAAGCAACAGGGAACCUAUUGAAAGGAGUUCAGGUAGCUCAUAACCCUCUGAAAAGUUGAAGAACCAAGUGCAGGGUUCGCAGAGACAGAGUCACAGCCAAGACCAUGCCACAGAGCCCGUGCGGACGCUGCUCGAUACUGCCGAGAGGCACUAUAGCUUGUACCACCAGCCCCUGCAGCCCUUCCGUAUCCAGCUACAGGCACUCCUGCCCUCGAGAACUGACUCUAGUGCACCCCGACUCUCACCAGAAAGGACCGUCCAUGGUCCCUGUCUCUACAUGUCACCAGAUUUCAGUCCAAAGGUGGGGGAUCUCAUCUAAUUGGCUGAGGCUCCAUCAUAUGUCUGUACCUUACCUUUGAGCUUCUACAACAAAAUACCGCUGGCAACUUAGAAACCACAGAAAAUUAUGCCUCACAGUUCUGGAGGCUGGAAGUCCAAGAUCAGAUUGGGUCUAGUGAGAAUCUGCUUCCUGCUUCUUGAAUGGCGGUCUUCUGUUUGUGUUCUAUGGUGGGAAGGUCAGGAGAGCUCUCGAGUCUCUUUUCUAAGGGUGCAAAUCUUAUUUAUAAGGACCCCACCUUCAUGACCUAUGCAUCCCCUGAAAGGGGAUUUUUGAUGUUUUCAGAUUCUCUA